Molecule: long non-coding RNA, 208 nt
Organism: Sinocyclocheilus anshuiensis
Lineage: Eukaryota; Metazoa; Chordata; Actinopteri; Cypriniformes; Cyprinidae
Exons: 3
Source: RefSeq, a predicted model, not a curated record
GUUUUUUUUUUUCUUCACCUCCACUCCUUGAUGGAAGUCCACUCGUUGUUGACUUUGUCAGUGCUACAGAAUUCCAAGUGAGGUCCUGAAAGUGUUAAUAGCGGUUUCUCCUGAGAAAAUCAACAGCUGCUGAGGGGGAAUGUUAAAGAACGUGGCGUGUCUCCCAGAAAUCCUAUAUAAAUCAGCCAAUCAGAUGACGACUUGGAAA